CCUACGGGAGGCUGCAGUGAGGAAUAUUGGUCAAUGGCCGCAGGGCUGAACCAGCCAAGUCGCGUGAGGGAUGACGGUCCUAUGGAUUGUAAACCUCUUUUGUCAGGGAGCAAAGGGCGCCACGUGUGGCGCUUUGCGAGUACCUGAAGAAAAAGCAUCGGCUAACUCCGUGCCAGCAGCCGCGGUAAUCCGGAGGAUGCGAGCGUUAUCCGGAUUUAUUGGGUUUAAAGGGUGCGCAGGCGGAAUGUCAAGUCAGCGGUAAAAUUUCGGGGCUCAACCCCGUCGUGCCGUUGAAACUGGCGUUCUUGAGUGAGCGAGAAGUAUGCGGAAUGCGUGGUGUAGCGGUGAAAUGCAUAGAUAUCACGCAGAACUCCGAUUGCGAAGGCAGCAUACCGGCGCUCAACUGACGCUCAUGCACGAAAGCGUGGGUAUCGAACAGGAUUAGAUACCCCAGUAGUC
This 459-nucleotide ribosomal RNA is filed under the name uncultured bacterium. RNAcentral's name for it is "partial 16S ribosomal RNA". It matches the Rfam family "Bacterial small subunit ribosomal RNA", at positions 338 to 795 of the family's 1533-position model. The record is from RNAcentral.